This 67-nucleotide transfer RNA is filed under the name Elysia viridis. RNAcentral describes it as "tRNA-His". The record is from RNAcentral. Lineage: Eukaryota; Metazoa; Mollusca; Gastropoda; Plakobranchidae.
CUAGGAGCUAGGUUAAUUAAAACCGAGGACUUGUGGCGUCCUAAAUUUAACAUAGUUAAGUUCUAGU